This 360-nucleotide transfer-messenger RNA is filed under the name Staphylococcaceae. RNAcentral's name for it is "Macrococcus_B bohemicus Standard tmRNA". It matches the Rfam family "transfer-messenger RNA". From Rfam's summary of the family: Bacterial tmRNA, also known as 10Sa RNA or SsrA, is named for its dual tRNA and mRNA-like properties. Its role is to liberate the mRNA from a stalled ribosome. RNAcentral also lists the same sequence under 2 other names. The record is from RNAcentral. Lineage: Bacteria; Bacillati; Bacillota; Bacilli; Caryophanales.
GGGGGCGUUACGGAUUCGACAGGGGUCACUUGGGUUGGUAUAGCGUGUCGGAGGGUUGUCUUCGUUAUCAACACAACAGUUAUAAUAACUGGCAAAACAAACAAUUUCGCAGUAGCUGCCUAAUAGCACUCUGCACCUCUCUCAAGCAUCGCCUAUGUGCCUGAUGUAGAGGUUCAACUUUUAAGUAGGAUACGACGAACACUUCCGCCUGGAGUCUGUUCGUAAGAGAUUAAUCGGGCUAGCGAUACAUUCGGAUGUCCGUUUUCAGAUGUAUCGUGAAAUUCAAUAACAGGACUACACACGUAGAAGUAUCAAUUGCAGGAUCUUUGGACGCGGGUUCGACUCCCGCCGUCUCCAUAC